Molecule: long non-coding RNA, 2145 nt
Organism: Callithrix jacchus (white-tufted-ear marmoset)
Lineage: Eukaryota; Metazoa; Chordata; Mammalia; Primates; Cebidae
Source: RefSeq, a predicted model, not a curated record
AUAAGUUUUAUUUAUUUUACUAAUGCAAUAUUUUGAAAUACAUAUUUUUUCUUUAUCUCCAUUUCCUGGCAUAUAGUUCCUAAAAACGCUUAGACCCUCUGGAGUGAUGAGAGUCUUUUGUAUGCUAAUGAGAUGACUAGGAACUGGGAGCCCCUAGAUGACCUCAUAAUGGGGGCUGUCUACCAGGGGAACCAACCAUGUGAUUAGAAGGUUGGAACUUUCAAUCCAUUCCCCAACUUUGUGGGAGGGGAGAGGGGCUGAAGUUUGAACAAGUAAACCAAUGAGCAAUGAUUUAAUCCACUGUGUCUACUUAAUGGAGUGUCCAUGAAACCCCAAAAGACUGAGCUCACAGAGCUUAUGAAUGGCAGAACAUGUGGAGGUUUCUGGAAGGUGGUGUUUCUGGAGAGGACACAAAACACUCUGAGCCCUUUCUCCCAUACCUCUCCCUAUACAUCUCUUCCAUCUGGCCCUUCAUCUGUAAUAUCCUUUACAAUAAACCAAUAAAGGGUCUCACUCUGUCAUCCAGGUUGGAGUGCAGUGGCAUCAUCAAAGCUCCCUGCAGCCUCAACCUCCUGAGCUCAAGCAAUUCUCUUUCCUCAGCCUCCCAGAGCAGAAUCCAGUCAUAAGAAAUCAGACAUUUUAUUCAAGACAAUCUACUUAUUGACUGAGAAAGAAUUAGCACCCUAUCAGCAGAUUCUCAGUUUAGAAAAAUAUUCAGUAAGUAUUUUUCAUCUGGGAAGAGACAGCUACAUUUAGUUAUUGGUAUAGAAAUAGAUCAACAUCACCUUUGCCAAAUUGUCCAUCCAGUAGCUUCCAAAUUCCACUGCUGUUAUUCGCUGGAGAUGACUAGAGAAAAAUGAAUGCUAGAUCAGCUCUUCCUGACAGCCUUCUUACCAAAUGGUGUGCGAUCCUUGGGUAUGCUGUGAAAGAAGCAAUUCCCAAGUCUCAGAGGCUAAAAUAAUAAAGGCUUUGGAGGUCCAUUUAGAGGACGCUGAGAUUUCUGACCUUGUCCUUGUUGUCCUCACUCUGCAAUCCAGAGCAGACAGCAAUUAAAUAAAACAUUGCCCAUGACCACAGCAGAAGACAAAGGGAAAGAGUCCUAGAAGAUUUUGUAGCAGCAAUUAAAAACCCACUCAAGAAGUGGCUCUCCCAACUUCUUAACAACAAACACGAAAUGGUUAAAAAUGCAACGUGCCAUGGAAGCUGAAGAGCCAGAAGGAUUUAGUACAAAGCAUGAAUGACUAUCUCUGUAUUUCAUCAUGAAAUCAAGUCUGAGGACAAUUUUCCAAGAAGGCAAAUGUUUAUUAGCAAGCAGACUCAAAAUGUAUCAUGUGGUCAUUUAUUCAUUUUUAUUUACUAGUUUAUUGUAAUCUAGGCAGUCCUAGAAUCAGGACAGGACAUAGUUCUAAAUGAAGAAAGGAGAAGAUGCUGAUUCCAAAGGCAUUAGCCUGCUUGGGUAGAUUAUCUGUGUGGUAUGACCCAAAUCAUUUUUGUAGUAGGACUAGUGACAUAUUUUGAACACCCCUCAUUUUAUGCAUAAAAAGUUAUUUCUGACAAAUGAUAUGCUAACAAAACUUUUGUAGUAGAUUUCAAUAAGGAUUUAUGAAAAAAUGAAUAGCCACCUCUGGAACUGGAUUUCUAUUUAGAGCAGUCCAAAUGCAGAAUAAUUGCUCUUGGCUGCUAAACAAGUCACCUUAAACCUCAGUGGCAUUGGACAAUAAACUUGUAUUUCUCAUGCAUCUAUAGAGUACAGUGCAUCUUAGCCGAGUUUCUCAUGUAAACGUGGGUUGGCUCUCCUGCACAUGUCUUUCCUCUCUCUCCCAGGAAUAACAGGCUGCCAGGAAUGUCCUUUUCUGGCUAUGACAGAAGCAUAGUAACUCAAUUACAGACAUGUGAGUUCUCUUGAAGCCUAGGCUCAGAACUGGAGCACUAUUCCUUCAGCUUCCUUUAUUGGGCAGAAGUAAAUUACAUUGCCAAGUCCAGAUAGAGAAGUUCUCUCUAAUCAUGGGUGGAGGUUAUUAUAAUGUUACAUAGCAAAGCCGUGGAUAUGAGAAGUACAGAGUAAUUAUGAUUAUUACUGCAAUCUAAUACAUGCCUCUAAAGAAUAGAUAAAAGUUAAGUCAUGAACUCAUACAUCACAUUGCU